Molecule: ribosomal RNA, 253 nt
Filed under: uncultured bacterium
Lineage: Bacteria
Description: partial 16S ribosomal RNA
Rfam family: Bacterial small subunit ribosomal RNA
Source: RNAcentral
GACAGAGGGUGCAAACGUUGUUCGGUGUCACUGGGCUUAGAGGGUACGUAGGCGGCUUAGUUAGUGAGAGGUGAAAGCUCCGGGCUCAACUCGGAAAUUGCCUUUCAAACGGCUAGGCUUGAGGAUCAGAGGGGCAAGCGGAACGUCACGUGUAGCGGUGAAAUGCGUUGAUAUGUGACGGAACGCCAAAGGCGAAGGCAGCUUGCUGGCUGAUAUCUGACGCUGAGGUACGAAAGCGUGGGGAGCAAACGGG